This 301-nucleotide ribosomal RNA is filed under the name uncultured bacterium. RNAcentral describes it as "partial 16S ribosomal RNA". It matches the Rfam family "Bacterial small subunit ribosomal RNA", at positions 509 to 807 of the family's 1533-position model. The record is from RNAcentral.
CAGUAGCCGCGGGAAUACGGAGGGCGCGAGCGUUACCCGGAUUCACUGGGCGUAAAGGGCGUGUAGGCGGCCUGGGGCGUCCCAUGUGAAAGACCACGGCUCAACCGUGGGGGAGCGUGGGAUACGCUCAGGCUAGACGGUGGGAGAGGGUGGUGGAAUUCCCGGAGUAGCGGUGAAAUGCGCAGAUACCGGGAGGAACGCCGAUGGCGAAGGCAGCCACCUGGUCCACCCGUGACGCUGAGGCGCGAAAGCGUGGGGAGCAAACCGGAUUAGAGACCCGCGUAGUUCCUGUCUCUUAUAC